RNAcentral lists this ribosomal RNA (324 nucleotides) under uncultured bacterium. RNAcentral describes it as "bacterial SSU rRNA". It matches the Rfam family "Bacterial small subunit ribosomal RNA", at positions 28 to 334 of the family's 1533-position model. The record is from RNAcentral.
GAUGAACGCUGGCGGCGUGCCUAACACAUGCAAGUCGAGCGAAGCACUCUAAUUCGAUUCUUCGGAUGAAGAUUUUUGUGACUGAGCGGCGGACGGGUGAGUAACGCGUGGGCAACCUGCCUUACACAGGGGGAUAACAGUUAGAAAUGACUGCUAAUACCGCAUAAGACCACGGUACUGCAUGGUACAGUGGUAAAAACUCCGGUGGUGUAAGAUGGGCCCGCGUCUGAUUAGGUAGUUGGCGGGGUAACGGCCCACCAAGCCGACGAUCAGUAGCCGACCUGAGAGGGUGACCGGCCACAUUGGGACUGAGACACGGCCCAG